This 146-nucleotide small RNA is filed under the name Grimontia sedimenti. RNAcentral's name for it is "Grimontia sp. S25 RtT sRNA". It matches the Rfam family "RtT RNA". From Rfam's summary of the family: This family represents a bacterial cis-regulatory element known as RtT RNA. The exact function of RtT is unknown although it is thought that it may be involved in changing the cellular response in relation to amino acid starvation. Lineage: Bacteria; Pseudomonadati; Pseudomonadota; Gammaproteobacteria; Vibrionales; Vibrionaceae. The record is from RNAcentral.
AAUAAACUUGUGGAGAUAGGGAUGCAGAACCCCAGACCCUGGGUUCAGCCGAGCGAAGCGAGACAACGUUGCCCGGCGAAGCCGAGCAGGCAACGGCCCGAAGGGCAAGGGAGCUUGCGACCGAGUAAAUCCCUAUCUCUCCGCCA